Molecule: ribosomal RNA, 492 nt
Filed under: uncultured bacterium
Lineage: Bacteria
Description: partial 16S ribosomal RNA
Rfam family: Bacterial small subunit ribosomal RNA
Source: RNAcentral
AUUGAACGCUGGCGGCAUGCUUUACACAUGCAAGUCGAACGGUAACAGGCCUUCGUGUGCUGACUAGUGGCGAACGGGUGAGUAAUGCAUCGGAACGUACCCAGAGGUUGGGGAUAACGCAUCGAAAGCUGUGCUAAUACCUCAUUUGAUCUGAGGAUGAAAGCGGGGGACCGAGCAGCAAUGUUUGGCCUCGCGCCUUUGGAGCGGCCGAUGUCGGAUUAGCUAGUUGGUGGGGUAAAGGCCUACCAAGGCGACGAUCCGUAGCUGGUCUGAGAGGACGACCAGCCACACUGGGACUGAGACACGGCCCAGACUCCUACGGGAGGCAGCAGUGGGGAAUUUUGGACAAUGGGCGCAAGCCUGAUCCAGCAAUGCCGCGUGAGGGAAGAAGGCCUUCGGGUUGUAAACCGCUUUUGGCAGGAACGAAACGGUGUCCGCUAAUACAGGGCGCUAAUGACGGUACCUGCAGAAUAAGCAACGGCUAACUACGUG